This 74-nucleotide transfer RNA is filed under the name Massilia frigida. RNAcentral describes it as "tRNA-OTHER". It matches the Rfam family "tRNA". Rfam says of the family: Transfer RNA (tRNA) molecules are approximately 80 nucleotides in length. Their secondary structure includes four short double-helical elements and three loops (D, anti-codon, and T loops). Further hydrogen bonds mediate the characteristic L-shaped molecular structure. tRNAs have two regions of fundamental functional importance: the anti-codon, which is responsible for specific mRNA codon recognition, and the 3' end, to which the tRNAs corresponding amino acid is attached (by aminoacyl-tRNA synthetases). tRNAs cope with the degeneracy of the genetic code in two manners: having more than one tRNA (with a specific anti-codon) for a particular amino acid; and 'wobble' base-pairing, i.e. permitting non-standard base-pairing at the 3rd anti-codon position. Lineage: Bacteria; Pseudomonadati; Pseudomonadota; Betaproteobacteria; Burkholderiales; Oxalobacteraceae. RNAcentral also lists the same sequence under 3 other names. The record is from RNAcentral.
GCGGGAAUAGCUCAAUCGGAGAGCGCAACCUUGACGGGUUGAGGCCGGAAGUUCGACUCUUCCAUCCCGCGCCA